Molecule: ribosomal RNA, 274 nt
Filed under: uncultured bacterium
Lineage: Bacteria
Description: partial 16S ribosomal RNA
Rfam family: Bacterial small subunit ribosomal RNA
Source: RNAcentral
AUACGGAAGGCCCGAGCGUUAAUCAGAAUUACUGGGCUUAAAGGGUGCGCAGGCGGACUGGUAGGUAUCUCGUGGAAGCCCCCGGCUCAACCGGGGAAUUGCGGGGUAAACCACCAGUCUUGAGGUAGGUAGAGGUGAGUGGAACCAUGGGUGGAGCGGUGAAAUGCGUAGAUAUCCAUGGGAACGCCAAUGGCGAAGGCAACUCACUGGGCCUUACCUGACGCUCAGGCACGAAAGCGUGGGGAGCGAACGGGAUUAGAAACCCUAGUAGUCC